GUGUAGGGGGGAGCCAGGGAAGCCUGGAGGGAGAGGUCGGCUUGGAGCCUCCUCCCUGUCCUCGUCCUGCCCUGCCGUGGCCACGGACUCCCCCGUACCCGGCCGACCGUGAAGCAAUCUGCGGUGCUGCGGUCUGGAACUCCGUCUGAGCUUUGGUGUCUGAGCCCAAGAACUGCUCGGAUGUGGGGUGUCUCCAGCGCUAGCGUCCAUGAGACUAGGAGCAGACCAGAGCCCUGAUGCACCAGGGCGGAGCUUAGUCCUGGAGAGAGACAGAGAGCUGC
RNAcentral lists this long non-coding RNA (281 nucleotides) under Cavia porcellus (domestic guinea pig). Its description in RNAcentral is "lncRNA (ENSCPOG00000039243.1)". The record is from RNAcentral. Lineage: Eukaryota; Metazoa; Chordata; Mammalia; Rodentia; Caviidae.